UCUGUAGGCGGUGCGGCAAGUCGGGAGUGAAAUCCCUGGGCUUAACUCAGGGGCUGCUUCCGAAACUGCCGUGCUGGAGUGCGGGAGAGGUGAGUGGAAUUGCAGGUGUAGCGGUGAAAUGCGUAGAUAUCUGCAGGAACACCAGAGGCGAAGGCGGCUCACUGGACCGCAACUGACGCUGAGAGACGAAAGCUAGGGGAGCAAACAGGAUUAGAUACCCUGGUAGUCCUAGCCCUAAACGAUCAGGACUUGGCGUGGGCCCCGUACGGGGCUCGUGUCGGAGCUAACGUGUUAAGUCCUGCGCCUGGGGAGUACGGUCGCAAGGCUAGAA
This 331-nucleotide ribosomal RNA is filed under the name uncultured bacterium. RNAcentral describes it as "bacterial SSU rRNA". It matches the Rfam family "Bacterial small subunit ribosomal RNA", at positions 568 to 899 of the family's 1533-position model. The record is from RNAcentral.